CUUGGUGGCUAUAGAGGUUGGGGUACACCUGUUCCCAUCCCGAACACAGAAGUUAAGCCAACCUUCGCCGAUGGUACUGACCAAUUAAGGGUCGGGAGAGUAGGGCGUCGCCAAGA
Molecule: ribosomal RNA, 116 nt
Filed under: Candidatus Peregrinibacteria bacterium RIFOXYA2_FULL_41_18
Lineage: Bacteria; Candidatus Peregrinibacteriota
Also listed under: 3 other names
Source: RNAcentral